GUAGGUGGCAAGCGUUGUCCGGAAUUAUUGGGCGUAAAGCGCGCGCAGGCGGUUCUUUAAGUCUGAUGUGAAAGCCCACGGCUCAACCGUGGAGGGUCAUUGGAAACUGGAGAACUUGAGUACAGAAGAGGAAAGCGGAAUUCCACGUGUAGCGGUGAAAUGCGUAGAGAUGUGGAGGAACACCAGUGGCGAAGGCGGCUUUCUGGUCUGUAACUGACGCUGAGGCGCGAGAGCGUGGGGAGCAAACAGGAUUAGAUACCCUGGUAGUCCACGCCGUAAAUGAUGAGUGCUAAGUGUUAGGGGGUUUCCGCCCCUUAGUGCUGCAGCUAACGCAUUAAGCACUCCGCCUGGGAGUACGGCCGCAAGGCUG
RNAcentral lists this ribosomal RNA (370 nucleotides) under uncultured organism. Its description in RNAcentral is "partial 16S ribosomal RNA". It matches the Rfam family "Bacterial small subunit ribosomal RNA", at positions 527 to 896 of the family's 1533-position model. The record is from RNAcentral.